GACGAACGCUGGCGGCGUGCUUAACACAUGCAAGUCGAACGGAAAGGCCCUGCUUUUGUGGGGUGCUCGAGUGGCGAACGGGUGAGUAACACGUGAGUAACCUGCCCUUGACUUUGGGAUAACUUCAGGAAACUGGGGCUAAUACCGGAUAGGAGCUCCUGCUGCAUGGUGGGGGUUGGAAAGUUUCGGCGGUUGGGGAUGGACUCGCGGCUUAUCAGCUUGUUGGUGGGGUAGUGGCUUACCAAGGCUUUGACGGGUAGCCGGCCUGAGAGGGUGACCGGCCACAUUGGGACUGAGAUACGGCCCAGACUCCUACGGGAGGCAGCAGUGGGGAAUAUUGCACAAUGGGCGGAAGCCUGAUGCAGCAACGCCGCGUGCGGGAUGACGGCCUUCGGGUUGUAAACCGCUUUCGCUGUGACGAAGCGUGAGUGACGGUAAUGGGUAAAGAAGCACCGGCUAACUACGUG
This 467-nucleotide ribosomal RNA is filed under the name uncultured bacterium. RNAcentral describes it as "partial 16S ribosomal RNA". It matches the Rfam family "Bacterial small subunit ribosomal RNA", at positions 28 to 507 of the family's 1533-position model. The record is from RNAcentral.